AUUAAUGCAAGUGAAUUUUUUUGGUUUAUUGUAGUUAAUUUUUUAUUUGAGUUUUAUAAAGAAUUUAUUAGGUGAAAUUUUAUUUUUUUUUUUACUCUUUUUAUGAAUCUAUGAGACUUAAAUUAUAAACUAGGAUUAGAUACCCUAUUAUUUUAAGUGUAAAUUUUUUUACCUGGGUAGUUUUAGUUAAGUUCUUUAAACCCAAAGAAUUUGGCGGUAUUUCAUUCCAUUUAGAGGAACCUAUCUAAUAAUUGAUAAUACACGAUUAACUUUACUUAAUUUAUUUGUUUGUAUAUCUCCGUUAUCAGAAAAUCUUUAUGGAGGAAUAAUUUUCUUGUUUUUAAAAUAAAAUUUAUUUCAGGUCAAGGUGCAGCUUAUAAUUAAGAUUUUGAUGGGUUACAAUAAAUUAUGAUUUAUUAUGGAUUUAAUUCUUGAAAUUUGUUUAAUGAAGGUGGAUUUAAUAGUAAUUUAAUUUAUUAAAUUUAAUUGAUAUUGGCUCUGAAGGUGGUG
This 510-nucleotide ribosomal RNA is filed under the name Trilophidia annulata. RNAcentral's name for it is "partial 12S ribosomal RNA". The record is from RNAcentral. Lineage: Eukaryota; Metazoa; Arthropoda; Insecta; Orthoptera; Acrididae.